AUGGCGUCGGACGGGGGAGACGAGGGACAUCGUCGUCCGCCGCCUCUUGGCCUCCGAGGCCUGACUCGCGAUGCCUUCCUUCCUCGUUCCGGCGAUGGCGGCGGCCUUCCUCCACUUCGUACUCGUCAUGGCGGCGGCCUUCCUCCACUCGGUCUUGCAGGUCGAGGACCACUGCCGUCGUUCUCCAUUGGGACGGCUGCCUCUACACCGGUGUCCAGCCCCAGCGUCGGAGGGAGACGCCGCGUCGGUCUGUCGCGCCCACCUCGACCUCCUUCUCCAAAUCAGGCAGGCUCGUCGAACUGGGCCACCUCGCCGGGCGGGAGCGGCAGUGCAAGCGCCGCCGGAAGGACGUCCUCCUACGUCGGCUUGAACAUCAUGAACGGCUCCAUCUGCGUCGGACCAAAUUCGUCUGUAUUCUGCACGAGAGACCGUACCAGUGAGUUUGCUGCAUCUACUAACGGCAGAGAAGGCGGCUGGCGUGGCGCUGGAUAUAAUCCAAAUUUUGAGAACGCUGACGAGUAUCCUCCACGCCCGGAACAUGUAGAAGCACCUUCUGCAAAAGAGAUUGAUUUGAAUGCUUUGGCUAACAAGAAUAACAGAGAACAGUACACUGUCGAAGACAAGCGUAAUAUUUACGCUAUGCUGCUUGCUCGAAAUGGAGAGCGUGGAAGGUUAAAGAAGGGGGUUUUGGAUUCUGUUGUACGUGAUGGAAAUUGUUCUCGGAGGUGCGUGAGUAGGAUUUGGAAAGAAACGAAGUCAGGAGGUGUCAUUAACUCUAUCAAGAACAAUUUGAAGUUAAAAACGGGAAGGAAGAAAAUGAGUUUGGAUAUUGAGGCAUUAGAAGCCAUUCCACCUGGUGAGAGGACCACAAUUCGACAAGUUGCUGCUGGACUUAACAUGUCCAAAAGCACAGUUCACCGUAGGUUGAAGGAGAAGGUAAUGAGACGAGUUUCAAAAGAACUGAAACCUUCAUUAACUGAAGCCAACAAGAAGGCACGUGUGGCGUAUUGCCUUGAGAAUUUGGAGCCAAGUUCAUUGGAGGACAAUCCCACUUUUAAAGCUAGUUUUAACAAGGUUCAUUUGGAUGAGAAGAUCUUCUACCGUACAAGGAAGACACAGAAAAUGUACUUGAGUCAUAGAGAGGAAGCACCAAAAAGAGAAUGCAAACAUAAAAACCACAUCCAGCAGAUCAUGUUCUUGUCGGCUAUGGCAAGGCCAAGGUAUGAUUCUCAAGGAAAUUGUGUGUUUGAUGGAAAAAUAGGUGUGUGGGCAUUUGUUGAUUGGGUGCCAGCUCAAAAGAAGAGUGCUAACAGAGGGAGAGGAGAAUGGGAGCUCAAGCCUUCAUCUUCGGUGGACAGGAACAAAAGUAGGGAGUACAUUGUGCAGUAUGUACUGCCUGCUAUAAAGGAAAAGUGGCUUGAGAGUGAUAGAUGGAACACCGUGUACAUUCAGCAAGACAAUGCAAGAACUCAUGUUUUAGCAAAUGAUCCCAUUUUUGCAAUGGAAGCGGCAAAGGGAGGUUGGGAUAUCAGAAUUGUAAAUCAACCACCAAAUUCACCUGACUGUAACAUACUUGAUCAAGCUUGUAUGAGGGAAAUUAUUAAGCACAAGGGGUCGAUGCACUAUGAUACACCUCACAUGAAGAAAAAAACAUUAGAGGCUAGGUCUACUGUCGGUCCGUCUGACGGUUGA
RNAcentral lists this ribosomal RNA (1692 nucleotides) under Triticum aestivum (bread wheat). RNAcentral's name for it is "partial small subunit ribosomal RNA". Lineage: Eukaryota; Viridiplantae; Streptophyta; Magnoliopsida; Poales; Poaceae. The record is from RNAcentral.